Molecule: small nuclear RNA, 108 nt
Organism: Bison bison bison
Lineage: Eukaryota; Metazoa; Chordata; Mammalia; Artiodactyla; Bovidae
Source: Ensembl
GUGCUUACUUUGGUAGCACAAAUACUAAAACUUAAAUAAUUCAGAGGAGGUUGGUAUGUUUCCUUUGCAAGGAUGAUCUAAAGGAUUCAUGAAGUGUGAUGGUCUUUC